RNAcentral lists this ribosomal RNA (253 nucleotides) under uncultured bacterium. RNAcentral's name for it is "partial 16S ribosomal RNA". It matches the Rfam family "Bacterial small subunit ribosomal RNA", at positions 524 to 776 of the family's 1533-position model. The record is from RNAcentral.
UACAGAGGGUGCGAGCGUUAAUCGGAAUUACUGGGCGUAAAGGGCGCGUAGGCGGAGAAGUAUGUCUGAUGUGAAAGUCCUGGGCUUAACCUGGGGAUGGCAUCAGAAACUGCUUUUCUGGAGUGAAGUAGAGGGUGGCGGAAUUUCCGGUGUAGCGGUGAAAUGCGUAGAUAUCGGAAAGAACACCAGUGGCGAAGGCGGCCACCUGGACUUUAACUGACGCUGAGGCGCGAAAGCAUGGGGAGCGAACAGG